UAGGGAAUAUUGCACAAUGAGCGAAAGCUUGAUGCAGCAACGCCGCGUGCGCGAUGACGGCCUUCGGGUUGUAAAGCGCUCUUCGGGGAGAAGAGGAAGGACAGUAUCCCCGGAAUAAGUCUCGGCUAACUACGUGCCAGCAGCCGCGGUAACACGUAGGAGGCAAGCGUUAUCCGAAUUUACUGGGCGUAAAGCGCGUGCAGGCGGUUCGGUAAGUUGGAUGUGAAAUCUCCCGGCUCAACUGGGAGGGGACGUUCAAUACUGUCGGACUUGAGGACGGUAGAGGGAGGUAGAAUUCCCGGUGUAGUGGUGAAAUGCGUAGAUAUCGGGAAGAACACCAGUGGCGAAAGCGGCCUCCUGGAUCGUUCCUGACGCUCAGACGCGAAAGCUAGGGGAGCGAAC
Molecule: ribosomal RNA, 402 nt
Filed under: uncultured bacterium
Lineage: Bacteria
Description: bacterial SSU rRNA
Rfam family: Bacterial small subunit ribosomal RNA
Source: RNAcentral